RNAcentral lists this ribosomal RNA (490 nucleotides) under Helicobacter pylori. Its description in RNAcentral is "bacterial SSU rRNA". It matches the Rfam family "Bacterial small subunit ribosomal RNA", at positions 214 to 721 of the family's 1533-position model. Lineage: Bacteria; Pseudomonadati; Campylobacterota; Epsilonproteobacteria; Campylobacterales; Helicobacteraceae. The record is from RNAcentral.
UGCUAAGAGGGGAAAGCCUAUGUCCUAUCAGCUUGUUGGUAAGGUAAUGGCUUACCAAGGCUAUGACGGGUAUCCGGCCUGAGAGGGUGAACGGACACACUGGAACUGAGACACGGUCCAGACUCCUACGGGAGGCAGCAGUAGGGAAUAUUGCUCAAUGGGGGAAACCCUGAAGCAGCAACGCCGCGUGGAGGAUGAAGGUUUUAGGAUUGUAAACUCCUUUUGUUAGAGAAGAUAAUGACGGUAUCUAACGAAUAAGCACCGGCUAACUCCGUGCCAGCAGCCGCGGUAAUACGGAGGGUGCAAGCGUUACUCGGAAUCACUGGGCGUAAAGAGCGCGUAGGCGGGAUAGUCAGUCAGGUGUGAAAUCCUAUGGCUUAACCAUAGAACUGCAUUUGAAACUACUAUUCUAGAGUGUGGGAGAGGUAGGUGGAAUUCUUGGUGUAGGGGUAAAAUCCGUAGAGAUCAAGAGGAAUACUCAUGGAGCACG